Molecule: ribosomal RNA, 468 nt
Filed under: uncultured bacterium
Lineage: Bacteria
Description: partial 16S ribosomal RNA
Rfam family: Bacterial small subunit ribosomal RNA
Source: RNAcentral
GACGAACGCUGGCGGCGUGCUUAACACAUGCAAGUCGAACGGAAAGGCCCUGCUUUUGUGGGGUGCUCGAGUGGCGAACGGGUGAGUAACACGUGAGUAACCUGCCCUUGACUUUGGGAUAACUUCAGGAAACUGGGGCUAAUACCGGAUAGGAGCUCCUGCUGCAUGGUGGGGGUUGGAAAGUUUCGGCGGUUGGGGAUGGACUCGCGGCUUAUCAGCUUGUUGGUGGGGUAGUGGCUUACCAAGGCUUUGACGGGUAGCCGGCCUGAGAGGGUGACCGGGCACAUGGGGACUGAGAUACGGCGCAGACGCCUACGGGAGGCAGCAGUGGGGAAUAUGGCACAGUGGGAGGGAGCCUGAUGCAGAAACGCCGCGUGCGGGAUGACGGCCUUCGGGUUGUAAACCGCUUUCGCCUGUGACGAAGCGUGAGUGACGGUAAUGGGUAAAGAAGCACCGGCUAACUACGUG